This 65-nucleotide transfer RNA is filed under the name Dipodomys ordii (Ord's kangaroo rat). It matches the Rfam family "tRNA". Rfam says of the family: Transfer RNA (tRNA) molecules are approximately 80 nucleotides in length. Lineage: Eukaryota; Metazoa; Chordata; Mammalia; Rodentia; Heteromyidae. The record is from Rfam by way of RNAcentral.
GGUGGCUCAGUGGUAGAGCACUUGCCUUGAGUGCCUGAGGCCCUGGGUUCAAUUCCUCAGCACCA